UCUUUUUUUCUUUUUUCCCUCCAGAAAAAUUUACUUAAAUGCUGCCCAUAAAAUGCAGCCACAGCCAAAUAUAAGGCCUAGUUUCUUCUAGAACCCUAGAAACUUAUUUUGUGUAGUUUUGAAUUAUAAUUCUGCUCUUGAGCAAAAUGGAGCAAAAUGGUUUCAAUCUUUUAAUGCCACUGGUUAGGGCAUGAAAAUGCUCAACAGCAGCAGAGUUGGUUUGUAUUGGGAAAGGAAUAGCUUAACGAAAUGGCUCUGGGAACUUCUGACAGGAAACCAGCAAUAUUAAAUCCAAAUCAAGGCUAGCAUUUCUUUUUAGAAGGAAGCUUGUGUUAUACAUUAAAUGAUUUGAUAGUGUCAUUUAUCACCUACCAAAUGUUCAUCUCACUAAAGUCAUACUAAAAAUUUCUGAAGAAUUUCCUUUCAGAGACAAAACUGAAAUAUUGAAACUGGGAUGUGAGACUGUGUGAAGCAUAUUGCUCUAUAACCACUAUCUAUCUGUGAUGCAAAGACUUCUGACCUGGCCUUUCAUGCAUUGUUACGCAUGAUAUGUAUAAUGCAUGUGUGAUAAUACAUCACAAUAGAAUUACAUUUCAUUCUGCUGACGUCAGAGCUGCACCAAAUAUAAUUACUAAUAAAAUUUUUAUAUAGCCUGGAGUUGUCACAAGAGUUACAGAAUGCCAGAGGUAUUUAUUUCAAGUAAAAUAAAAAUAAGGUGUCCUGCCAUAAUCUUUGCUCUAUUUAGGAACCAGAGAGAAUUUCUCAGAUCAUUGAUUCCGGUCAUUUGCUUUCAGACAACAAAAUAUAUGAUGAACGUAACAAAAUCCAUCAUCAAAUAAAAAUGUAAUUGCAGCUGUCUUCCUGACAAUUCAUUUCCGUUGUCAAUCAUAAAGAGCUGUUUGAAAAUGGCCAAAAUGUGACAAUAAGCACAGGAUUUUCAAGGUAGUCUAGAUGACAUUAAAUGAAAAAAUAAUUUCCUGAACAAGAAAACAAUAUGUAAUUCAGAACUUCAUGCAACCAGCACAGAAUCUUACAUUAAAGCUGUUGUUGUCUCUACAUUUCUGUGCAAAUACACUGAGUUAACAAAUCAGUCAAUCAAACAAACAAACCAACCCCCCAAUACA
Molecule: long non-coding RNA, 1124 nt
Filed under: Strigops habroptila (Kakapo)
Lineage: Eukaryota; Metazoa; Chordata; Aves; Psittaciformes; Psittacidae
Description: lncRNA (ENSSHBG00005002030.1)
Source: RNAcentral